Molecule: non-coding RNA, 46 nt
Filed under: Schistosoma mansoni
Lineage: Eukaryota; Metazoa; Platyhelminthes; Trematoda; Strigeidida; Schistosomatidae
Source: RNAcentral
GCACAGCUGAAGAGUCCCAUUAUAGGACAAAACAGUUGUCCAGUAC